UCCUGUCGGUGCAAGAUGGCGGUGCAGAUCUCCAAGAAGAGGAAGUUUGUUGCUGAUGGCAUCUUUAAAGCUGAACUGAAUGAGUUUCUCACCAGGGAGCUGGCUGAGGAUGGCUAUUCUGGGGUGGAGGUUCGAGUUACCCCAACCAGGACAGAAAUCAUCAUCUUGGCUACCAGGACUCAGAAUGUCCUUGGGGAGAAGGGUCGCCGGAUUCGUGAACUGACAGCUGUAGUGCAGAAGAGGUUUGGCUUCCCCGAAGGCAGUGUAGAGCUGUACGCUGAGAAGGUGGCCACCAGAGGUCUCUGUGCUAUUGCUCAGGCUGAAUCCCUGCGUUACAAGCUCCUGGGAGGCCUUGCUGUGCGUAGAGCCUGCUAUGGUGUCCUCCGCUUCAUUAUGGAGAGUGGAGCAAAGGGAUGUGAAGUUGUGGUGUCUGGUAAACUCAGAGGCCAGAGGGCCAAGUCCAUGAAGUUUGUGGAUGGUCUGAUGAUCCACAGUGGAGACCCUGUCAACUACUACGUCGACACAGCUGUGCGCCACGUCCUCCUCAGACAGGGUGUAUUGGGAAUUAAAGUCAAAAUCAUGUUGCCCUGGGACCCAAGUGGCAAGAUUGGCCCCAAGAAGCCCCUGCCUGACCAUGUGAGCAUCGUAGAGCCCAAGGAUGAGAUUCUUCCCACCACUCCCAUCUCAGAGCAGAAGAGUGGGAAGGCAGAGCAACCUGCUAUGCCCCAGCCAGUGCCCACUGCAUAACAGGUCAGUCCAUAGAGCUGCAUUUGGGUGGAAGCAAUUAGCUAGGAAUUUUGUCUGUGUAAAACAAAAAAUUCGAAGUGGACUUAUGUCCAUUGCCUUGUUAUCUUCCAUAGCCCUGUGAAGGAGGCAGGGUAGGGCCUUAGUCCAUCCAUUCCAGGCUUUGGGAAAUUGAAGUGUUUAAACUCUUACUACUGGACUGGUGAGAGAAAUGAGACUAAUAAGAAAGCAGCUCUAAGGGUUGUUGGAUGGUUAAAAAGUGACUGUAGAACAAGAAAAGGUAGGGCUGAGAGAGAUCUGAGAGGUGACCCAAUUUAUAGAAUAGGAAAUGGGCUCAGAGAGGAAGUUGCUCAACAUCACAUUCCCACUGCCUUUCCCACUUUGCUGUCCUACCUCUACUUGCAUGUCUAGUGAUAUGCUCUGACACCCAGCAGAGUGAGUCGCUACCAUUGGGGAGCAUUUCUCAUUGUUCAGAAAUUCCUAAAUGGAGCCUAAAUCUCUCUCAUUCAGCGGUCAGAGUGAACUAUCACUGUCUAGUUUUCCUCCUUUUGUGCUUUUGCUCAAACAUCUUUCAGUGAAGCCUUCAGUGAACCUAUCCUGUUACUUAUGCUAUUCUGUCUGUUAUCAAUAAAUAGUUGUUUGCAUGUCUCUUAACCACACUAUUGAAACCUUUGCUGUCACCUUUUACUUGUCUCUGUCUUGCAUCUAAUAAAUAUUUAAUAAAUAUUAAAUCGAAAACCCUCUGCUUUCCUUUUAUUUUCAGCCAGUUGCCCUAGUUCUCUGGAGCUAUGCAGAACAUGUUUGCUCCUUUCCAUUUCUGACCUUUCAGAUGUUUGAGGGAGGCAGCUUGGGGUGUGGAAAGACCUCUGGACCAGAAGACCUGGUUUCAAACCCCAGUUGUACUGACUCCCUUUCUCAAGGUCUGUCCCCUCAGGUUUUCAAACCAUUCUGUUCUUAAAGGACCUUAUGUGCUCAGUAGUGCCUCAGUAGAUAGAUAUGGUCCAGAUUUGGAGGGUCAGGUCCACCAACCCACCCUUGCCAGAAGACAAACCUGAUUGACAUGUUGGUCUAGCCCACAUUUUCUUUGUAGCUGUCUCUGUCACUUCAGCUUCUUCUUCUCUCCUCCUAGGAGGUUCUAACUCAGGUUGUGGUGAUUAUCAAAUAUGAGCAACUCUUUUCCCCUCUGUCUCAGAUUCCUCAUCUGUAAACAAUAGUCCCUCCCUCUGUCCAGUCAGGGACCGGUGUGAAGAGGAGUAAAGAAGGGAGUUAUUUUUAUUGACUGGAUAUUAAUCAGGUUUAAGAAAUGGCCACUGGAAUGUUGGUAAAGAGGAUUCAAUUGAUUGGAAUGUCUUGGAGGAAUGCUAGAAAUCAACUAGUUCAAGAUGGGGGGAAAGUGAGGAAACCUCUAAGUACUGGGCCUUAAGUCUGCCUUUCACGUAGCUUGCUGUUUACUGGGGUCGGGGUUAGGGGACCAUUAAAACAAUGUGAUCCAUAGGUGGAAAACUGCCGUUUGUGGUACAAGAUGUUAGAUUUUUAUUGGGGGGAGGCGGGUCUUGAAGGGCUUCUUAUGGCUUUCAAGUUGGCCUUUACAGUAUGCCUGGGAAGUCAGACAAAAGUGGGGAGCAGGAGACAUUCCAGACAUAAAGUGUUACAGCUAGGGCAGGAAGAGCAGAGGUCUGAUUCUGGACAGAGGAGUAAGCUUCAGUUAUUGGUGGAAAGCCUUGAAUACCAACAAUUUGAACUUGAUUUGGUCAGCAGUAAGAAACCUGAAUCUUGAACAGACCAGUGAUAUAACUAGAUUUAUGCAUAUAUUGUUGUGGUGGAAAGAUUGAGUCCAGUGGGGUGGUAUUGAGGACCUGAUGUUAUAACAGUGGAGAUGAAGGGGAGGUUUGGGAGAGAUGUUGUGGAGUUCAGAAACUGGUAACUGGCUUUUCCUGCUCCCUCACCUCUCAUAUCCAGAUAACACUUCUAGACUUUAGGGUUAUUGCUUUGAUCUAACUUAUGUCUUAUUUUGGUUUCAAGGACUCUGACAUCUGGAAUGGUGUGCCCAAAGCUCUUCUGUAAAGAUCUUUAAUAAAAUCUUUUUCAAAACAAA
RNA transcript from Dromiciops gliroides (monito del monte), 2839 nucleotides. It is a transcript of the gene named ribosomal protein S3, with no coding region annotated. The transcript has 7 exons. The record is from RefSeq and is a predicted model, not a curated record. Lineage: Eukaryota; Metazoa; Chordata; Mammalia; Microbiotheria; Microbiotheriidae.